CGCGUAGGCGGAUCGUUAAGUCAGAGGUGAAAUCCCGGAGCUCAACUUCGGAACUGCCUUUGAUACUGGCGAUCUUGAGUGUGAGAGAGGUAUGUGGAACUCCGAGUGUAGAGGUGAAAUUCGUAGAUAUUCGGAAGAACACCAGUGGCGAAGGCGACAUACUGGCUCAUUACUGACGCUGAGCGCGAAGCGUGGGAGCAAACA
This 204-nucleotide ribosomal RNA is filed under the name uncultured bacterium. Its description in RNAcentral is "partial 16S ribosomal RNA". It matches the Rfam family "Bacterial small subunit ribosomal RNA", at positions 568 to 774 of the family's 1533-position model. The record is from RNAcentral.